AAUAUAUCCCUUUAUAUUCAUUGUUCUUCUCUUGGUAUCAGAGCAAGAAAGGCACACGCCCAAUGGCCUCCCCGCCGAAUCCAAAGGAUGGAGCCUCUGCUCAAGAAGCAAGCUCAACUGCAGAAAACCCUGCUGCUCAAAUCCCUUCACUCACCUGAAAUGAAGCCUCUGCAUCUUAGCUCCCAAAUGCUUAUCCUCAACACUUUAGCACCCUCAACCAGCCCUUUUCUCUCAAGUUGGACCGUAACAACUACACCCUGUGGAAAACCAUGGUAUCCACCAUUGUAAGAGGUCAUAGACUAGAAGGUUAUCUUACUGGUGCUAAAGUCUGUCCACAUGAAUUUUUGCUUGCAGGUCCCGAUGGAGUUGUUCAGGUUAAUCCUGACUUUGAACACUGGCUGAUCAAUGAUCAGCUUCUCAUGGGCUGGUUGUACAGCUCCAUGACAGAAGCUAUUGCAACAGAGGUGAUGGGUUUAGCCAUAGCAGCAGGGUUGUGGAAAGCUCUGGAGAAUCUCUAUGGAGCUUAUUCCCGAGCAAGAAUGGAUGAUCUGCGCACCUACAUUCAAACCACAAGGAAGGGAAACUUGUCUAUGACAGAAUAUUUGAGACAGAAAAAGAACUGGGCAGAUACUUUGGCUCUGGCUGGAGACCUUUAUCCUGAAGCUCACCUGGUGGCCAAUGUCUUAUCAGGUCUUGAUGCUGAAUAUAUUUCAAUCGUUGUCCAGAUUGAAGCCCGAUCUAAAACCACCUAGCAGGAGCUGCAAGACAUUUUGUUGAGUUUUGAUAGCAAGAUUGAAAGAUUGCAGACAUUAACCAGCACCAACAGGAUGCUGAACACACCUUCUGCAACAACUCCUCAAGAAAACAUGGCUGCUAAAAACACGAAUCCUGGGCGAGGACGCAGUACUUACACCAACACUGGAAGUGGCAAUCGUUUUACUGGCAUCAGAGGAGGCCCAAAUGGAGGUAGAUCUCGUGGGAGGGGUCGUACUGGUGGUGGCUCGAGACCUACUUGCCAAAUCUGUGGCAAGUAUGGUCACUCAGCUGCUGUUUGUUACAGCAGGUAUGAGGAAAGUCACAUGGGAGGAGAUUCUGGUGGAACUCAGCAACAACAGUUCAAAACCAACCCCAAUGCCUUCAUAGCUGGACCUGAAGUGGUUGAUAGUGAUCUCUGGUUUGCUGACAGUGGGGCAAGUAAUCACACCACUGCUGAUGCCUCAGUCAUGAAUCAAAAACAGGAGAAUGGUGGACAAGGCAACAAGGAAGGCUUUGCUCCAAGGGGUGCUUAAGGAAGGACUAUACCAGAUCUCAUCUCCAUCAAAACCAGGAACCUCUCACCCAAGUCACUUAACCGAAAAUAAACACACUCCCUUCUCUGGUGUUGCAGCAGUUUCUAGUGUCAAUGUAACUCAGCCUAAAACUGAAAAGUCUUUAAAUUCCAAAAUAGAGGUGUGACAUAGGAGAUUAGGCCACCCCUCAUCUAAAGUUCUAAGUCAUGUUCUUGAGUCAACUAAUGUAAGAGUCUCUCAAAAUGAAAUGAAAUCGUUUUGUGA
Humulus lupulus (European hop) is the source of this 1553-nucleotide RNA transcript. It is a transcript of the gene named cold shock domain-containing protein 4-like, with no coding region annotated. Lineage: Eukaryota; Viridiplantae; Streptophyta; Magnoliopsida; Rosales; Cannabaceae. The transcript is spliced from 2 exons. The record is from RefSeq and is a predicted model, not a curated record.